AUUGAACGCUGGCGGCAGGCCUAACACAUGCAAGUCGAACGGUAACAGGAAACAGCUUGCUGUUUCGCUGACGAGUGGCGGACGGGUGAGUAAUGUCUGGGAAACUGCCUGAUGGAGGGGGAUAACUACUGGAAACGGUAGCUAAUACCGCAUAACGUCGCAAGACCAAGGAGGGGGACCUUCGGGCCUCUUGCCAUCGGAUGUGCCCAGAUGGGAUUAGCUAGUAGGUGGGGUAACGGCUCACCUAGGCGACGAUCCCUAGCUGGUCUGAGAGGAUGACCAGCCACACUGGAACUGAGACACGGUCCAGACUCCUACGGGAGGCAGCAGUGGGGAAUAUUGCACAAUGGGCGCAAGCCUGAUGCAGCCAUGCCGCGUGUAUGAAGAAGGCCUUCGGGUUGUAAAGUACUUUCAGCGGGGAGGAAGGGAGUAAAGUUAAUACCUUUACUCAUUGACGUUACCCGCAGAAGAAGCACCGGCUAACUCCGUG
RNAcentral lists this ribosomal RNA (490 nucleotides) under uncultured bacterium. Its description in RNAcentral is "partial 16S ribosomal RNA". It matches the Rfam family "Bacterial small subunit ribosomal RNA", at positions 30 to 507 of the family's 1533-position model. The record is from RNAcentral.